AAGCAUGUCUUUCUCCUAACUCUUGCAUUAAUCGAUCCAUCUUUCAAAGAUCUAUCGAUUGAGGUCACUCAUGUCUACCAAUCCCGGCCACUCAGUUGACCACCGUUGACAAGUUGGAAUCCAUGAAGCCUUCUCCUCUUUGUCUUUUUGGCUUAUAGUAGUCAUUCGUCCACUCUUCCACAGAUUAAUGGUUAAGAUUGAAUCAGUGGGAGAGUGACAGAUAAUCACUGCCGGCCAUAAUUUGAUCUUUUCUGGUCACUGCGUCUUCACCAGAUCCAGGUGUUGGAGGUAGAGGACCCAAGCUGUGGAAGCUUCUUUGAUCGCAAGGAUUUAAGAUCCAGGUGUUAGAGGUAGCAGACCCAGACUGUGAGAGCUUUUUUGAUUGCAAGGAUUGAAGGUAGUGCUGCUUAGUUCAUCGCAGCCCCUUAGAGUCCUUUCCCUAUAUUUAUACUCUCAAUUAUCUAUCCGAACAAUAUUGUA
Long non-coding RNA from Nicotiana tabacum (common tobacco), 480 nucleotides. RefSeq lists it as uncharacterized. Lineage: Eukaryota; Viridiplantae; Streptophyta; Magnoliopsida; Solanales; Solanaceae. The record is from RefSeq and is a predicted model, not a curated record.